RNAcentral lists this ribosomal RNA (250 nucleotides) under uncultured prokaryote. RNAcentral's name for it is "partial 16S ribosomal RNA". It matches the Rfam family "Bacterial small subunit ribosomal RNA", at positions 524 to 773 of the family's 1533-position model. The record is from RNAcentral.
UACGGAGGGUGCAAGCGUUGUCCGGAAUCAUUGGGCGUAAAGAGUUCGUAGGUGGUAUGUUAAGUCUGGUGUCAAAUCCCGAAGCUCAACUUCGGUUCGGCACUGGAUACUGGCAAACUGGAAUGCGGUAGAGGUAAAGGGAAUUCCUGGUGUAGCGGUGAAAUGCGUAGAUAUCAGGAGGAACAUCGGUGGCGAAAGCGCUUUACUGGGCCGUGAUUGACACUGAGGAACGAAAGCCAGGGUAGCAAAU